AGAGUUUGAUCAUGGCUCAGAUUGAACGCUGGCGGCAUGCCUUACACAUGCAAGUCGAACGGCAGCGCGGGGCAACCUGGCGGCGAGUGGCGAACGGGUGAGUAAUAUAUCGGAACGUACCCUGGAGUGGGGGAUAACGUAGCGAAAGUUACGCUAAUACCGCAUACGAUCUAAGGAUGAAAGUGGGGGAUUCGCAAGGACCUCAUGCUCCUGGAGCGGCCGAUAUCUGAUUAGCUAGUUGGUAGGGUAAAAGCCUACCAAGGCAUCGAUCAGUAGCUGGUCUGAGAGGACGACCAGCCACACUGGAACUGAGACACGGUCCAGACUCCUACGGGAGGCAGCAGUGGGGAAUUUUGGACAAUGGGCGCAAGCCUGAUCCAGCAAUGCCGCGUGAGUGAAGAAGGCCUUCGGGUUGUAAAGCUCUUUUGUCAGGGAAGAAACGGGUUUUUCUAAUACAGAGAUCUAAUGACGGUACCUGAAGAAUAAGCACCGGCUAACUACGUGCCAGCAGCCGCGGUAAUACGUAGGGUGCAAGCGUUAAUCGGAAUUACUGGGCGUAAAGCGUGCGCAGGCGGUUUUGUAAGACUGACGUGAAAUCCCCGGGCUCAACCUGGGAAUGGCGUUGGUGACUGCAAGGCUAGAGUUUGGCAGAGGGGGGUAGAAUUCCACGUGUAGCAGUGAAAUGCGUAGAUAUGUGGAGGAACACCGAUGGCGAAGGCAGCCCCCUGGGUCAAAACUGACGCUCAUGCACGAAAGCGUGGGGAGCAAACAGGAUUAGAUACCCUGGUAGUCCACGCCCUAAACGAUGUCUACUAGUUGUCGGGUUUUAAUUAACUUGGUAACGCAGCUAACGCGUGAAGUAGACCGCCUGGGGAGUACGGUCGCAAGAUUAAAACUCAAAGGAAUUGACGGGGACCCGCACAAGCGGUGGAUGAUGUGGAUUAAUUCGAUGCAACGCGAAAAACCUUACCUACCCUUGACAUGGCAGAAAUCCCGGAGAGAUUUGGGAGUGCUCGAAAGAGAAUCUGCACACAGGUGCUGCAUGGCUGUCGUCAGCUCGUGUCGUGAGAUGUUGGGUUAAGUCCCGCAACGAGCGCAACCCUUGUCAUUAGUUGCUACGAAAGAGCACUCUAAUGAGACUGCCGGUGACAAACCGGAGGAAGGUGGGGAUGACGUCAGGUCCUCAUGGCCCUUACGCGCUGGGCUACACACGUGCUACAAUGGCAACUACAGUGGGCAGCGACCCUGCGAGGGCGAGCUAAUCCCCAAAAGUUGUCUCAGUUCGGAUUGUUCUCUGCAACUCGAGAGCAUGAAGGCGGAAUCGCUAGUAAUCGCGGAUCAGCAUGCCGCGGUGAAUACGUUCCCAGGCCUUGUACACACCGCCCGUCACACCAUGGGAGUUGGAUUCACCCGAAGGCGUUGCGCCAACCCGUAAGGGAAGCAGGCGACCACGGUGGGUUCAGCGACUGGGGUGAAGUCGUAACAAGGUAACCGUA
Molecule: ribosomal RNA, 1496 nt
Filed under: uncultured bacterium
Lineage: Bacteria
Description: bacterial SSU rRNA
Rfam family: Bacterial small subunit ribosomal RNA
Source: RNAcentral